CGAGUUCUGAUUUCUGGGAAGGGAAGGGAGCAUAAGGCGUUUAGCUAAAACAGAAAUGUUUGGAAAGGAGAUGUGGAGUCAGAGAAGAAAAGAGAGGGACCAAGGUCCUGCACAGUAUCCGGCAGUGGCUGGCCCAAGGUCUCUGGCAGGAGGGCAGUGACAGCGCUGGCGGCCACAGGGACAGCGCCGAAGAUGAAGAGAGGCAUGGAGGGGUAGAACUCGGCGGUCAUGCUCACCAGCGGGCUCACGAUGCUGCCCACCCGGGCCAUGGUGCUGCCCAUGCCCAGGCCUGUCUGCCUGUGGUCAGGAUGCAGAUGCCUGCCAGCAGCAGGGAGGCCAACUGUGCAGGCCGGCGGCCCAGGGAGUUGAUGACGAGGAAGCAUACGAACUUGGCUGGUAGGUCCACAGCACCGAAGAUCACCUGGAUAAGAGAGCUGUGAAUCCCUGGAUUUCUUUCUGGACUUGAGAGAUGACUUCAGG
This is a non-coding RNA of Cricetulus griseus (Chinese hamster), 480 nucleotides long. The record is from RefSeq and is a predicted model, not a curated record. NCBI's taxonomy places the organism in Eukaryota, Metazoa, Chordata, Mammalia, Rodentia, Cricetidae.